CCUACGGGUGGCUGCAGUGGGGAAUAUUGCACAAUGGGGGAAACCCUGAUGCAGCAACGCCGCGUGAGUGAAGAAGUAUUUCGGUAUGUAAAGCUCUAUCAGCAGGGAAGAAGAAAGACGGUACCUGACUAAGAAGCCACGGCUAACUACGUGCCAGCAGCCGCGGUAAUACGUAGGGGGCAAGCGUUAUCCGGAUUUACUGGGUGUAAAGGGAGCGUAGACGGCUGUGCAAGUCUGAAGUGAAAGCCCGUGGCUCAACCGCGGAACUGCUUUGGAAACUGUAUAGCUAGAGUACUGGAGAGGCAGGCGGAAUGCCUGGUGUAGCGGUGAAAUGCGUAGAGAUUAGACAGAACACCAAUGGCGAAGGCAGCCUGCUGGGCAAAAUCUGACGUUGAGGCUCGAAAGCGUGGGGAGCAAACAGGAUUAGAUACCCGGGUAGUC
RNAcentral lists this ribosomal RNA (441 nucleotides) under uncultured bacterium. RNAcentral describes it as "partial 16S ribosomal RNA". It matches the Rfam family "Bacterial small subunit ribosomal RNA", at positions 338 to 795 of the family's 1533-position model. The record is from RNAcentral.